CAAAGAGUAGCUUAAAAUAAAGCAUCUUGCUUACACCAAGAAAAUACUAGUUCAAACCUAAUCUCUUUGA
Molecule: transfer RNA, 70 nt
Filed under: Siren intermedia (lesser siren)
Lineage: Eukaryota; Metazoa; Chordata; Amphibia; Caudata; Sirenidae
Description: tRNA-Val
Rfam family: tRNA
About the family: Transfer RNA (tRNA) molecules are approximately 80 nucleotides in length.
Source: RNAcentral